RNAcentral lists this ribosomal RNA (505 nucleotides) under uncultured bacterium. RNAcentral's name for it is "partial 16S ribosomal RNA". It matches the Rfam family "Bacterial small subunit ribosomal RNA", at positions 28 to 507 of the family's 1533-position model. The record is from RNAcentral.
GACGAACGCUGGCGGCGUGCCUAAUACAUGCAAGUAGAACGCACAGUUUAUACCGUAGCUUGCUACACCAUAGACUGUGAGUUGCGAACGGGUGAGUAACGCGUAGGUAACCUGCCUGGUAGCGGGGGAUAACUAUUGGAAACGAUAGCUAAUACCGCAUAAUAUUAAUUAUUGCAUGAUAAUUGAUUGAAAGAUGCAACUGCAUCACUACCAGAUGGACCUGCGUUGUAUUAGCUAGUAGGUGAGGUAACGGCUCACCUAGGCGACGAUACAUAGCCGACCUGAGAGGGUGAUCGGCCACACUGGGACUGAGACACGGCCCAGACUCCUACGGGAGGCAGCAGUAGGGAAUCUUCGGCAAUGGGCGAAAGUCUGACCGAGCAACGCCGCGUGAGUGAAGAAGGUUUUCGGAUCGUAAAGCUCUGUUGUAAGAGAAGAACGGGUGUGAGAGUGGAAAGUUCACACUGUGACGGUAUCUUACCAGAAAGGGACGGCUAACUACGUG